Molecule: ribosomal RNA, 492 nt
Filed under: uncultured bacterium
Lineage: Bacteria
Description: partial 16S ribosomal RNA
Rfam family: Bacterial small subunit ribosomal RNA
Source: RNAcentral
AUUGAACGCUGGCGGCAUGCUUUACACAUGCAAGUCGAACGGUAACAGGCCUUCGGGUGCUGACGAGUGGCUAACGGGCGCGUAAUUCAUCGGAACGUACCCAGAGGUGGGGGAUAACGCAGCGAAAGCUGUGCUAAUACCGCAUGUGAUCUGAGGAUGAAAGCGGGGGACCGAGCAGCAAUGUUUGGCCUCGCGCCUUUGGAGCGGCCGAUGUCGGAUUAGCUAGUUGGUGGGGUAAAGGCCUACCAAGGCGACGAUCCGUAGCUGGUCUGAGAGGACGACCAGCCACACUGGGAGUGAGACACGGCCCAGACUCCUACGGGAGGCAGCAGUGGGGAAUUUUGGACAAUGGGCGCAAGCCUGAUCCAGCAAUGCCGCGUGCGGGAAGAAGGCCUUCGGGUUGUAAAGCGGUUUUGGCAGGAACGAAACGGUGUCCGCUAAUACCGGGCGCUAAUGACGGUACCUGCAGAAUAAGCACCGGCUAACUACGUG